This 400-nucleotide ribosomal RNA is filed under the name uncultured bacterium. RNAcentral's name for it is "bacterial SSU rRNA". It matches the Rfam family "Bacterial small subunit ribosomal RNA", at positions 355 to 772 of the family's 1533-position model. The record is from RNAcentral.
UGGGGAAUAUUGCACAAUGGGCGAAAGCCUGAUGCAGCAACGCCGCGUGAGUGAAGAAGGUCUUCGGAUUGUAAAGCUCUGUCUUUUGGGACGAUAAUGACGGUACCAAAGGAGGAAGCCACGGCUAACUACGUGCCAGCAGCCGCGGUAAUACGUAGGUGGCAAGCGUUGUCCGGAUUUACUGGGCGUAAAGGAUGUGUAGGCGGAUAUUUAAGUGAGAUGUGAAAUCCCCGGGCUUAACUUGGGGGCUGCAUUUCAAACUGGAUAUCUAGAGUGCAGGAGAGGAAAGCGGAAUUCCUAGUGUAGCGGUGAAAUGCGUAGAGAUUAGGAAGAACAUCAGUGGCGAAGGCGGCUUUCUGGACUGUAACUGACGCUGAGGCAUGAAAGCGUGGGGAGCAAA